Molecule: long non-coding RNA, 2236 nt
Filed under: Homo sapiens (human)
Lineage: Eukaryota; Metazoa; Chordata; Mammalia; Primates; Hominidae
Description: HSALNT0202825
Source: RNAcentral
CAGAUCAUCUAUCGCCUGAGAGCACAGCGGGAGGGACAAUGAUCGGGAUAAAAACCCAGGCAUUAUUCGAUCCAGUAGCUGUAACCCGCUUUGGGUCCCCUCCCAUUGUGUGGGAGCUCUGUUUUCACUCUGUUAAAUCUUGCAACUUCACACUCUUCUAGUCCGUUUUUGUUCUGGCUUGUUCUGGCUCGAGCUGAGCUUUCAGUCGCCGUCCACCACUGCUGAUCACUGCCCUUGCAGACCCGCUGCUGACUUCCACCCCACCAGAUCCAGCAGCGUGUCUCCUACGCUUCUGAUCCAGGAGGCGCCCAUUGCCGUUCCUAAUGGGGCUAGAGGCUCGCCGUUGUUCCUGCACGGCUAAGUGCCCGGGUUCAUCCUAAUCAAGCUGAACACUAGUUGCUGGGUUCCACAGUUCUCUUCUGUGACCCACGGUUUCUAAUAGAGCUAUAACACUCACCGCAUGGCCCAAGGUUCCAUUCCUUGGAAUCUGUGAGGCCAAGAACCCCAGGUCAGAGAACAAAAGGCUUCCCGCCAUCUUGGGAGCAGCGCCCUUGGGAGCAGCCUGCCACCAUCUUGGGAACUCUAAGAAAAAAGACCUGCAGCCACUUGAAGAUGAAAAGGUCAAGUCUGAAGUUCAAGCUUUUCUUGAUGUGCUGCUCUGGGAGUAAUAUCCCCACCUUGGUAGGAAGUACAACUGAGUUAACUGUAAUUUCUCAGUAUUUUAUUUAUGCUCCAGUUUUCCCCAUUCACUUCAAUAUAGGUUUAAUUCUUCCUUUCAUUUCUAAUACAGUCAUUGCCCCUUUGUACACUAUAUCUGUCUGAUUUCUUUAUUUCUCAGGACAUGCAAAAUUGCAAAUAUUUAAUUGCACCUUAUGUUUUCACUAUACCUGCACCAAUAUUUUAACUCAAAACUAUACUAAAGAACUUUUUGAGCCAUCGUUAAGUCGUCACACAGUGCCAUAUAACAUAUUUCCUUCUGCAGUAAUUGAAAUAAAUAUAGUGCCAAUACUCAUAUUUGCAAGAUUGUCUCUAUAUCAAAUUGUUUACAUGUGAGCAAAAAAUGUUUGCACCUGUCUUCCCACAGCCUGUGGGAUGAAUUUUUCAUACUCUAACGACUGAAUUUUGAGACUUCAUUUUCCCCACAAUUCCCAAGUUAUUUCAGAUAUUCAAUUGGAACCAGAGAAUUCUCUAUACAGAAGAUAACAAGGUUAUUUUUCUCUGGGCUUAGACCAGGUCAUAGUCAAUGGCCUGGACAAGAAGUGUCUAAUUUAAUGCCUGAAACAGAGCAGCUAACUGUCUCUAUGGCUCAAUGUCACAAAAGUCUGGAGACACCAAGAAAAUGAUAAAUUGAAAUAUCUCAGUUAGAAAUUCUCAUGAUGAAAGGACCAGGGUCAGAAAAAAUUUAAAAUAAUAAUAAUAAUAAAUAUAAAUAAAAAGAAGAAAUUCUCGCUUGCUUAUACCAUUGCUGUAAGGUCAAUUAAAUUGUGUAAAAAUUAUGUUAUUAUAAAGCAAAUUGUUGACCAUGAUAAUUUAAUAAGAAGAUCAUAUACUAAACAACAUUCUUUUAAAUUGUAGAUAAAAUUAAUGAAAGUCAGAGUAACAACUCCAAAGUUACAUUAUCUAAUAUGGUAAGCAUUAGUCACAUAUGUCCAUUUAGCUAUAAAAUCUAGAUUAAUUAAAAGCAAAUAAGAUUUAAAAAUCAAUUCUUCAACUGAACUUGAUAUAUUUCAUGUACUCAACAGAGAUAUACAUUGUCAUCAUCACAGAAAGUUUUAUUGGACAGUGCUGAUAAAGGAUAAAGAAUUACACUCCAACUUAAAUUUUACUUUAUGUUGCAAAGUAAUUUUUCUUUUUUAAGUUCAUGGAAGCCAGCAUAAAUGCCUUUGAGUGGUCAAAGACAAAGAUAGUGAUUAGUUUAGAUAAACAAACUCAGCUAGUUUUGCACCAAUAAAUGAUCACUUUAAUGUGUGUCAAUCAUAUCCCGUAUGGGCACAUGUAGGACAGUGGUCCCAUAAGAUUAUAAUGCUGUAUUUUUACUGUGCCUUUUUUACUUUUAUAUAUGCUUAGAUACACAAAUACUUGUCAUUGUAUUACAAUUACUGACUGUAUUCAAUGCAGUAGCAUGUUGUACAGGUUUAUAGCCUAUGAGCAAUAGGUUACACCAUAUAGCCAUGGUGUGUGGUAAGCAAUAGCGUCUAGGUUUGUGGAGGUGCAUUCCAUGGUGUUUACACAACAA